Molecule: ribosomal RNA, 274 nt
Filed under: uncultured bacterium
Lineage: Bacteria
Description: partial 16S ribosomal RNA
Rfam family: Bacterial small subunit ribosomal RNA
Source: RNAcentral
AUACAGAGGGUGCAAGCGUUAAUCGGAUUUACUGGGCGUAAAGCGCGCGUAGGCGGCUAAUUAAGUCAAAUGUGAAAUCCCCGAGCUUAACUUGGGAAUUGCAUUCGAUACUGGUUAGCUAGAGUGUGGGAGAGGAUGGUAGAAUUCCAGGUGUAGCGGUGAAAUGCGUAGAGAUCUGGAGGAAUACCGAUGGCGAAGGCAGCCAUCUGGCCUAACACUGACGCUGAGGUGCGAAAGCAUGGGGAGCAAACAGGAUUAGAUACCCGGGUAGUCC